Molecule: ribosomal RNA, 304 nt
Filed under: uncultured bacterium
Lineage: Bacteria
Description: partial 16S ribosomal RNA
Rfam family: Bacterial small subunit ribosomal RNA
Source: RNAcentral
CAGCAGUAGCCGCGGGAAUACGUAGGUCCCGAGCGUUGUCCGGAUUUAUUGGGCGUAAAGCGAGCGCAGGCGGUUAGAUAAGUCUGAAGUUAAAGGCUGUGGCUUAACCAUAGUACGCUUUGGAAACUGUUUAACUUGAGUGCAAGAGGGGAGAGUGGAAUUCCAUGUGUAGCGGUGAAAUGCGUAGAUAUAUGGAGGAACGCCGGUGGCGAAAGCGGCUCUCUGGCUUGUAACUGACGCUGAGGCUCGAAAGCGUGGGGAGCAAACAGGAUUAGAUACCCGUGUAGUCCCUGUCUCUUAUACA